Molecule: long non-coding RNA, 3036 nt
Organism: Pseudophryne corroboree (corroboree frog)
Lineage: Eukaryota; Metazoa; Chordata; Amphibia; Anura; Myobatrachidae
Exons: 2
Source: RefSeq, a predicted model, not a curated record
CCCUCCCCCUCUCUCUGGCAGGGGGUGCUGGGUGACUGGUGGACAGGGGGUGAGAUGGCACCAGGGAGGGGGCAGGCCGUGUGUGACACCUCCCCCUCCUCUGCCGCUGCUGCUGCUGUGUUUUCCUCACACCGCUCCCCCCUCCCCCCCUCUGCGGACGCAGGAGUGGGGGGCUCUGAUGGGGAACCUGCUGCACCAGGAGAAGCCGUGGACGGGCUCUGCGAGGGUCAGGGGCCACACCCUCCCUUCUGUGGAUAUAAUGGCAGCAGGUGUGCGGAAGCCGGGGCCUCUAUGAGCGCACGGGGUUUCCGGGCCAGCGCGGCAGGGGCAGGGAGGGGGAUUACUGCAGUGCGUUGCUCUCUGCUCUGCUGUGUAGCACGCUGGGCAGACGGCGGCGGAGCGCUGCGAUUGUGCUACGGCUGUCACCCCACCGCCGUCCCCGUGAGGCACGGCCGCCGCCGCUUCUAGGGCGGGGAGAGACGGACCGAGAGACGGACAGCUGUCGCCCCCUCCCUGCGCUGCCGGAUCGCCGAUCUCCCCUCCUAGCACGCCUGGAUCCUGCGUUGCUCCCAUAUGUAGCCUUAUUCGUCUGAUACACCCAGGUAUGGGGACACGAGGAGCUCUACGUGGCAGGAAGAGGCUUGGCUUCCACCGGGAAUGCCUCCCGAUUUGCAGUGUUGCCUCCCUUAGACCUUAUGUCUCAGCUGCUACUGUAAGUGACAGAUGAAAUUCUAUUUUUUUUUUUUUUUUUUUUAAUGAAAUAAGAAAAUCCACAGAUCUCGGAACAAGAAUGCACACACUGACCUGCUUCACGGUCAUUUAUAUUGUAUUUUAUUCCUAUUCAUGUGAUGGGUUCCAAAUACUUGGAUUUAUAUAAGGCAGUGUAGAGAUAUAGAUAUAUACACACAUACAGUGUGAUGCAUGUUAAAGCAGAAUUCUGAUCUUACAGUAUGUAGUUAUUCCUAAUACACUGUACAGCUACAAGCUGCUGAGUGUGUCCAUCCCCACUAUGAUGUGCAUCUGUUGCAGUGUCCAGCAGGAGACUCGCUGCUUUCCUAGUGCUAUGGGGUUUCCUCUCAAGCUUUCCAGGGACUCUGCAAGAGCGCAUUUAUUCACCCUCCUCUGUCCAGUGCAGUUUUGGGUUUCCUCUGUAUAAGGUAUAAAGCAGAAGUGCUGGUGCCCAAGUACACUGACUUUUAGGCUACAUUAAUGUAAGGCUGUUAUUUUUAAGAUUGAACUGUAUACAGUCUGCCCAUCGCAGAUCAUUUCCUUCUAUUUCAGUCUUUCCCAACCAAAUUUAAAUUAUUAACCGUUAAAUAUAAUAUACCGGCUAUGCUGGACAUUCGUCAGUCUAUAAAUUACCUAGAAGUGUUCUGUAACCUGUAGAGAAUAGCUAAUAAUCUCAAACUAUACUUUUCCUUUUGGUUGUUUGUAAUGAUCAGAUUUUGCUAUUUCCAUUGAAUCUUUAUUUUUAUUAUAGUUAUGAAUCAAUUACUGCUUACAGAUUACAGACCAUUGUAUUUUAUGUAUAAUAUGUUGUAGCAACAGAGUUAAAAGCCAUAUUGACUACUGUUCCGUUGCUUCUCAGGCAAUAACGAGACGAGGUAUUUGCAAAAAAUCCGUUUGUUUAUUAAAUUUGUUUUUAGCCUUGUUCUCACUACCCAAUAACUGGUGACACCGUAUAAUUAACAGUCUGAGACAGCUCCUGUUUUAGAAUAACACCUUAUGUGAGAAGGCUGAACGGUGUACUGUCAAUUAAUUCACUGGCAGUUUGAGAGCACAAUCUGCUUUAUCUGUCAUUGGUUCAAGGAAAUUAAGCAGUUGGAUAGAAUUAACCAGUUGGGUGGAGGUGAUAAUUUAUAGUAAUCCGUCCUCCCCCAAAGCUCAGAUUGUAUUAUCGGAUUUCGGGAGAGAUGGCCAAUCAAGACGGCUGACGAGUCAAGCUGUGGCUUUCCAUCCGCCUGACUAAUGUUUGAAUUUUUUUUAUUUUAUUUUUUUGUAAUGGAGACAUCUAUUUGUAAAGCAUUGCAAAAGAAAUGAAAUCAAAUAGCAUUUAGAUGUAAGAGGGGCUUUGGGAAUUAUAAUGGGUCGUACAAUGAAGAUUCCACAUGGUGCCUCUGCAAUGUUUCUUGACCCUUUAGGGGUGGUCUCAGAUGUUUUGUGGGUGCCCAAAUGUAAUGAAUGCCUACUGGAGCAAUUCAAUUGUGUGUCUGGAUCACCCCCCAAACAUGCCACAUGUGUGCACCCAUUAGUACUGGGGUAGCCAUGCAAAACGGCUAAACCCAUCUAAACAACUGAUGGGGGGGGCACCCAAACUGCCAAUUUAUUGCACAUUUCAGCUCGCACUUCGGGAGGCUGUGCGCCUGACCGAGCGGAGCAACAUUUGUAUUGCUCCAUUUGGUGCCAUCUAGUAGCAGCCGGGGAAAACAAUUGAAUUGCCUCCUUGGUGUCCAGCUAUGACCCAUUGAUUAAUGCUGACAUAUACUAUGAUUUAGGGGGAUAUUUAUCAAAGCUUGGGAGAGAGAUAUACAGGUUGAGUAUCCCUUAUCCAAAAUGCUUGGGACCAGAAGUAUUUUGGAUAUCGGAUUUUUCCGUAUUUUGGAAUAAUUGAACUCUAUAAUGAGAUAUCAUGGUGAUGAGACCUAAGUCUAAGCACAGAAUGCAUUUAUGUUUCAUAUACACCUUAUACACACAGCCUGAAGGUCAUUUAAUACAAUAUUUUUAAUAACUUUGUGUAUUAGACAAAGUUUGUGUACAUUGAGCCAUCAGAAAACAAAGGUUUCACUAUCUCACUCUCGCUGAAAAAAGUCCAUAUUUCGGAAUAUUCUGUAUUUCUGAAUAUUUGGAUAUGGGAUACUCAACCUGUACUACUAACCAAUCAGAUCCUGGCAUUUUAUUCAAAUACAGCUUGUAAAAUGACAGUUACAAGCUGAUUGGAUAGUACUUUCUUUCACCAAGCUUUGAUAAGUAUCCCCCUUAUUUUCUUUAAUUCUUAUGUCAUGUGUAAACUGUUAAUAAAGCUGAGUGAAAACAAAA